GACGAACGCUGGCGGCGCGCUUAACACAUGCAAGUCGAACGGAAAGGCCUGCUUUCCCUUGUGGAUUGCGGGUACUCGAGUGGCGAACGGGUGAGUAACACGUGAGUGAUCUGCCCCCAACUUGGGUAUAAGCCUGGGAAACUGGGUCUAAUUCCCGAUAGGACUGCAGGGUGGUGCCGGUGGUGGAAAACGAUUUUCUAGUGGUUGGGGAUGAGCUCGCGGCCUAUCAGCUUGUUGGUGGGGUAAUGGCCUACCAAGGCGGCGACGGGUAGCCGGCCUGAGUGGGUGGACGGCGACAUUGAGACUGAGCUUCGGCCCAGACUCCUACGGGAGGCAGCAGUGGGGAAUAGUGGACAAUGGGCGGACGCCUGAUGCAGCGACGCCGCGUGGGGGAUGACGGCCUUCGGGUUGUAAACUCCUUUCGACCGCGAGGAAGCCACCUGGUUGGAAGGGUGGUGACGGUAGUGGUAGAAGAAGCACCGGCUAACUACGUG
RNAcentral lists this ribosomal RNA (494 nucleotides) under uncultured bacterium. RNAcentral's name for it is "partial 16S ribosomal RNA". It matches the Rfam family "Bacterial small subunit ribosomal RNA", at positions 28 to 507 of the family's 1533-position model. The record is from RNAcentral.